GAGCCUCUGCCUUCCUUCCUAAAGACGUAGCUGGGGGAACAUCUGCCAACUUAAACAACCCCCCUUUCCCCUCCUCUCCCAUGCACCUGCUCUUUGUUUCUCUGCUGUUCCAUCCUUGUAAUGGUCCCAUUGCCUUCAUUGCCACAAGGGAGCUGGGUGUGGAAAGCCAAGGUAGUUUAAGAGAAAUGGCAAACUCACAAAUAUAAUUGCUCAAAUUUUAAUUUCAGUCAGUAUGCCAAUAUGUACGUACUGAAAAAAAGCAUUCAUCUAUUUCAGGAUGAGGAAUGGCCAGUGCCUGGGUGUCCUAAUGUUGGGCAGAGCAGGACGUGGAGCUCGUUUGUAGGUCUGAAGGCAGCAUGGACAGCUUGGCAGAUCCUUUUGUUUGGUGAUUGUGGUGUGUCUGAUAUGCUGGAAUAUGGCUCACAGAGCUCACCUACUUCUGAGGAAGCAAGUAUAGGCAACAAUUUGAGAAAGCUGAAGGAACAGAAAAGUGGCAAAACAAGAAGCAGCUGCUAUUCUCGUGCAUCCUUUUCUGUGGUGUUAGUGGGUCCCUGCGACACACCUUGUGUGAUCUGUUACCCUCUGGAUUUCUCCUGUGGUUGCGUUUUGUCUCUUCCUCUCAGGACCCUUUUGACCAUCUGUGGCUUGCGGAGAAUAUGAAAGCUCCUUCCUGUGUCCAAGAUCAAUAGCUUUAAAAAGAGAGUACAAGAAGCCACUAAUCAUCUUUUCCACCCGGCAUUAAUUUCUGAAGUGCUUCAGCGAGUUCGCUUUGAAGUUCUGUUAUUUAUUUAUUUUUAACAAGUGUCCAGAACACAAGGGCCCACCCACAUGUCCUGCAACAGGCGAUGGCUCCUCCAGUGCUGUUUGGAUGUGGGUGGGCCACGGCACUUUUUGGAAAGCUCUCCCAAAUCCUGGAAAUAAGAUUUCAAAAGCCAAUUGAGAAGUUUCCCCAUGUGCCCUGGCUGCAGUGGAAAGUGGUGCUGCUUUCCCGUCUGAAUCUUGGAUUAAGAAAAGAAGGAAAAAGGAGGGAGGGGGGGAUGGGGUGGAACUCAAUAGCAACUCUACGGGCUUAAAUGUGGUUCAAUUCCUCCGCUCUGCUGCAGCUGAAUAGGAGGAGACUGACUAAGGGAAGCUGUGUCCUUACAGCCUCCUCUUUGCAUGAGUAAAUAAGACAUUCCAGCACUGCAGAGGCAGAACUAGUGGAAAUAUAUAUAUUUAAGUUACUAAGUCAUCCACACACCUACCUGGUCUCUCUUCCUGUUUCUGCUGCACCCCAUGGCAACACCGAGGGCUGCUAUUACCACAGCAUUGCACAAGCCAGGAUUACACAUACAGCAUGGGAAUGGUUCCUCUGGAACUCUGAAGCAACACAAACAUUGGUCCUUUGCAAAUAGCAAAAAAAAAAAAAAAAAAGCUGUACUGCAAAAUGGGUGAUGUGGUAUUGGCUCACUCAGGGGUGAACCUGCCAGCAUGCUGGAGUGGGUAAGUACAUGAGCCUCGACAUUGCUUCCAGUUGUAUUUGGCCAGGAUUGUCUAAUCCAUCCUUGGCACUCAGAGAUGUUCACUUGUACACACGCCACAGAUGACUGAAUUGUAAUUGGCUGUUGCUCAGUUUGUAGGUACAGAUAAAAGCAACAUGCAUAUGUUUUGACCUUCGUACAGGUACAUUUCUAAUAGUCAGGCUUUGAAAAUGGGUUACUCCGUGUGUAGAUAUCGAAUAUAUAUGCCAACCCUGUAAGUCUGUUACUGAGUAUUAGGUAAGGAAGGAAGGCAUCUGUUGCUGGGAGAUCCCUCUUUGAAAACAGAGCAUAGCUAUCCCUUAUUUAUACACUGGAUUUACUUAUUUUUUGUUCAUGCACAUCUCUGUCAAACCCACUUCUGGCUGCCACAGAAGUGCUGAGGCACUGUGAGAAACUCUGUUUUUCCUGUUUUGCAGCACUAGUUUGGGUGGAACCAAAGUAUAACGAGGAAGCUUGAGCUGGCAAAGUUUCUUGCCCAAAUGCAUCAACAUGAAUUUCUGGGCAUCUGUGCUCAAUGUGAAGCACCUGCUCAUGUAAGGUAUGUUCUGUAAAGAUUGGAUGGUGGCCCGAUUAGAAAAGAAGAAUUCCCACAUUAGAGAAAAAUUACCUGUUGAAGGCACAACAGUGAUUGAGGAAAUCUGAGGCUCGGCAGUACGGCAGAAUAACAGAGCUAGGAGGAAAGGCUGUACAGCAGGGAGAGAGAUGUCCACAAGAAAUUAAAAGGUUGUGUAGUGAUUGCAGUAAACUGCUAACGUGCAGCACAGAGGAAAGUGGUUCCCUUUGUGUUUCUGGAAAUGCAAAAUGCAUUUCAGGCUGUCUCUCGAGGGUGAAGCACUUAUAAAGCAGUUGAAUGAUGACAGUGGAUUUCAGUGAAGCUAAAACUGAAUAGGGACAGCUGUAGACAUUUCCAUAAAGGGAAUCUCCCAGGAAGUAGUCUGUUAGGGAAUCCAAGCUUUGUGUUAGUAAACACUAGAUGCAGUGAUGCUUAAUCUUACUGGGGAUGUGUUUUCCUCAAAUUGAGUAUAAAAAUUAUGCUCCCUUUAUUCCAUUCUCCUCUGUUUCUCUCUCCUCCUUCACAUGUACAGUUGUUUCUGUUGUAUUUUUGAAGGCAGCUUUCCAUCUACUGGUGUGGGAUGAAGUCUGUUCUCUGGGCACUUGAUGUCUCAGGGUUCCAUAGCUGAUGCUUGUGCCUCUGGUGUCUCCUUCCUCGUGGCUGGCCAAUGGGACGAUGACCAAUACCAUGAUUGGGUGCAUACACACAAACUGUGGUUUUGAAGUCCUUGUACAAGUUGGACAGAUGGCAAAAGACAGCUUUGAUUGAAUUAAAAUCAAUAUAGAAGCAUUUCCAGAAUUUUUCACAUUGAAAAAAACACAAAAUCUUAGUUCUCAUACGAGGUUUCCUUGUGCCGAACAUUCAGUGUGAGACAGUUCCUGACACGAUGGCCCAAUCUCUGCCCAGGAUUACGCAGCUGAUGUGAUGUGAAUUUGGCUGAUA
This is a non-coding RNA of Phasianus colchicus (ring-necked pheasant), 3015 nucleotides long. Lineage: Eukaryota; Metazoa; Chordata; Aves; Galliformes; Phasianidae. The record is from RefSeq and is a predicted model, not a curated record.